CAAAGGCCCCAAAGGAAGCCACGGCUAACUCUGUGCCAGCAGCCGCGGUAAUACAGAGGUGGCAAGCGUUGUUCGGUAUUAUUGGGCGUAAAGAGCACGUAGGUGGUUCUGUAAGUCAGAUGUGAAAGCCUUCUGUUCAAAGGAAGAGCGGCAUCUGAAACUACAGAUCUUGAGUGUAGGAGGGGAGAGUGGAACUUCUGGUGGAGCGGUGAAAUGCGUAGAUAUCAGAAGGAACGUCGGCGGCGAAAGCGACUCUCUGGCCUAUUACUGACACUGAGUGUGCGAAAGUUAGGGGAGCAAACGGGAUUAGAUACCCCGGUAGUCCUAACUGUAAA
This 335-nucleotide ribosomal RNA is filed under the name uncultured Planctomycetales bacterium. Its description in RNAcentral is "bacterial SSU rRNA". It matches the Rfam family "Bacterial small subunit ribosomal RNA", at positions 473 to 806 of the family's 1533-position model. Lineage: Bacteria; Pseudomonadati; Planctomycetota; Planctomycetia; Planctomycetales. The record is from RNAcentral.